Molecule: ribosomal RNA, 253 nt
Filed under: uncultured bacterium
Lineage: Bacteria
Description: partial 16S ribosomal RNA
Rfam family: Bacterial small subunit ribosomal RNA
Source: RNAcentral
UACGAAGGGGGCGAGCGUUGUUCGGAAUCACUGGGCGUAAAGCGUGCGUAGGCUGUUUCGCAAGUUGGAAGUGAAAGCCCAGGGCUCAACCCUGGAACUGCUUUCAAAACUGCGAGACUCGAAUUCGGGAGAGGAUAGCGGAAUUCCCAGUGUAGUAGUGAAAUACGUAGAUAUUGGGAGGAACACCAGUGGCGCAAGCGGCUAUCUGGACCGACAUUGACGCUGAGGCACGAAAGCGUGGGGAUCAAACAGG